GACGAACGCUGGCGGCGUGCUUAACACAUGCAAGUCGAACGGAAAGGCCCUGCUUUUGUGGGGUGCUCGAGUGGCGAACGGGUGAGUAACACGUGAGUAACCUGCCCUUGACUUUGGGAUAACUUCAGGAAACUGGGGCUAAUACCGGAUAGGAGCUCCUGCUGCAUGGUGGGGGUUGGAAAGUUUCGGCGGUUGGGGAUGGACUCGCGGCUUAUCAGCUUGUUGGUGGGGUAGUGGCUUACCAAGGCUUUGACGGGUAGCCGGCCUGAGAGGGUGACCGGCCAAAUUGGAACUGAGAUACGGCCCAGACUCCUGGGGGAGGGAGCGGUGGGGAAUAUUGCACAAGGGGCGGAAGCCUGAUGCAGCAACGCCGGGGGCGGGAGGAGGGCCUUCGGGUUGUAAACCGCUUUCGCCUGUGACGAAGGGGGAGUGACGGUAAUGGGUAAAGAAGCACCGGCUAACUACGU
RNAcentral lists this ribosomal RNA (467 nucleotides) under uncultured bacterium. Its description in RNAcentral is "partial 16S ribosomal RNA". It matches the Rfam family "Bacterial small subunit ribosomal RNA", at positions 28 to 506 of the family's 1533-position model. The record is from RNAcentral.